GGUCCCCUGCCUGGCGCGUGAUUGGCUGGGAAAAUUGAUCCUAGUGCGUUAAGCAAAGGGAGCGGUGACCUAAGGGGUGUGUGCACGUCCGUUCCGCCUCGGGCGGGAUGGAAAGCCUGAUCCUCUUAUCACGGCGCCCACCUGGUCAAUGCCAGGCUCAAUUUUCCGCCGACACGACCGAGGCGGGGGUCCC
Non-coding RNA from Nitrospirae bacterium RBG_16_64_22, 193 nucleotides. NCBI's taxonomy places the organism in Bacteria, Pseudomonadati, Nitrospirota. The record is from Rfam.